This 414-nucleotide long non-coding RNA is filed under the name Pan troglodytes (chimpanzee). RNAcentral's name for it is "long non-coding RNA NONPTRT010115". Lineage: Eukaryota; Metazoa; Chordata; Mammalia; Primates; Hominidae. The record is from RNAcentral.
ACAGUCCUGAGGGCGGGCAUUCCUCGCGCAGCGCGCCGACCCCCGGGACGUGUGCGUCUGUGGGGGGUUGCUGUCCCCCGGGUCCCUCGGGCGACCCCGCUCCACGCUGGGCUCAGGGCAGGACCCGGGAUUCCGUGGGACCCGGUGUUUAGCGCAGAGACUGUCAAUUUCGGAUCCAAAGACGGCGAUGGCAGAGCUCACCCGGGUUGCCUGUCAAAUCAAGGCUAUCGCAAAAUAAAUCCCGCCGCCUGCCGCGAAGCCCCGGCGCACCGCAAACUUCAGUGAGCGAACUGGGUGAUCGCUGUUGGGAUAUGCAGAUUCCUGAUGUAAAAGGCGGGGUGGCCCCCCCGAGAGCCUCUCCCGGGGGCCGGAGCCCGUAGGUGCAGUAAGGCGCGCGCGCCGGUGCCGGCGCCC